This 253-nucleotide ribosomal RNA is filed under the name uncultured bacterium. RNAcentral's name for it is "partial 16S ribosomal RNA". It matches the Rfam family "Bacterial small subunit ribosomal RNA", at positions 524 to 776 of the family's 1533-position model. The record is from RNAcentral.
CACGUAGGGCGCGAGCGUUGUCCGGAAUUAUUGGGCGUAAAGAGCUCGUAGGCGGCCUGUUGCGUCCGCUGUGAAAGCCCGGGGCUUAACCCCGGGUCUGCAGUGGAUACGGGCAGGCUAGAGGUAGGUAGGGGAGAAUGGAAUUCCCGGUGUAGCGGUGAAAUGCGCAGAUAUCGGGAGGAACACCGGUGGCGAAGGCGGCUCACUGGCCCGGUACUGACGCUGAGGUGCGAAAGCGUGGGGAGCAAACAGG